This is a long non-coding RNA of Bos taurus (domestic cattle), 870 nucleotides long. Lineage: Eukaryota; Metazoa; Chordata; Mammalia; Artiodactyla; Bovidae. The record is from Ensembl.
AGGCUCUUCUGUCCAGAGGAUUCUCCAGGCAAGACUAGAACAUUUAGCAACAUCAACUCUUCUAGGAGAUGGAGAUGCAGAUGAAAACAAGACCAACAAUUUGAAAGGAGCUUACCUUCCUGUAUACUGAACCCCCAGCAUGUGGAGGAGUUGCUCACCAGCCCAUAGACCUCAGACCAGGGGAAACCAGAAAGUUGAUGAUGGUGACACCCAGUUACCUCACCACCAAGCAAUAAGACGAUUCUCUAGGAGCUGAUCAUGCACCCAGCAUCUCUACCUCACCCAGUCUCUAGACACCAUUCCCUGGUAAUCAGAGGGGUUUCAGGCAUUUUGAGCCUUAACUCUCUGGACUCCUUGCUUGGAUCCUGUAUUAAAACCUGCAAUUUGUUUCACCACAACCCAGAGUCAGUAGAGGGGCUUUACUGUGUUCCCACAGCAGGUGCAAAUUUGAUUUGGUAACAACUGCUCCCUGUCAUCCCUCUCCCCCAGCACCCCAACACAGAAGAUCCCUGAAUUACAGCUUGUCUCCCACAGACUUGACCUCCUGUUCCUAAAGCCAUCUUGGGGAUCCCCUUUGCCUUGGGAUAAAGGACAAGCAUCUGUUCCUAGCAUCAAAGGGUCCAGAUGCCUUUUUUCAGCUUCCCUCUUUCUAGCACCAGGUCCAGGGUUCCCUCUUCCCACUUUCAGCACCAGGCCCAGGGUUAGUUGACUCUCUGUCCUCCUCCAGACACUCCCAGGUCCCAGGCUGGGCUGACAUGGGCAUGGACAGUCAGAGACACUCCUGUUGGCAAAAAUUCCCCAAGGCCAUGAGAGCACAAUGUCCCUCAUCCCAGGUGACCCCCAGGCACUAGGUUCAGCACCCACCUUGGA